Molecule: long non-coding RNA, 560 nt
Filed under: Homo sapiens (human)
Lineage: Eukaryota; Metazoa; Chordata; Mammalia; Primates; Hominidae
Description: HSALNT0359344
Source: RNAcentral
AAAAUAAAAAACUAAACUAAAACUAAAGAGCCCAUACCAUUAGCCUCUAAACCCUUGAAAAUUCUCUCAACUUCCCUUUAAAACAUUCUCAAAAGUCUAUGUCUUCUACCUCCACUAAUUAAAUAUAAGGUUUCUCAAGUGCAAACAUUCAUGAACUUUAGAACUUAUUUUUAAGUUAGUUAUGUUGUUUUUCUAGGUUUUAGAAAUUACUGCUAGUUUGGAAAAUGGUUCUCAAUGAACCUUGGAAUGCAAGAAUAGGAACUGAGUCAGAAUGUUCCAUUGUCAAUGACGGUCCAAUUGUGACAAAGAGCAUGGCUUUUGGAGUGAUUCUGAGCUAUGUUUGAAUCCUGACUCCAGCAUUUACUGGCUGUGUGACUUUGAAACCUCUGGAGUGUUCUAACUGGCAAAAACAAUGGUACUUUGCGGUUUUGAGCCUGGGAAACCUAAAAAAAACUUUGGCAAUUGUGUCUCUUCUCACUUCAUGGCUCUGGAAAACAAGAAGACUGCUCAGCUUGACUCCAAGAGAUGGAGUUUCACCAUGCUGCCCAGGCUGGUCUUGA